Long non-coding RNA from Bubalus bubalis (water buffalo), 1278 nucleotides. RefSeq lists it as uncharacterized. Lineage: Eukaryota; Metazoa; Chordata; Mammalia; Artiodactyla; Bovidae. The record is from RefSeq and is a predicted model, not a curated record. The transcript has 2 exons.
GGUGGGCUAUAGUCCAUGGAGUUGCAAAGAGUUGGACACGAUUGAGUGACUUCACUUUCUGGGUCAGUGGGACGUCACUCAUUCGGGGACACCCCUUUCAGGCACAACCUUAAGCCAAGUUUCCUCACAUACAAUUAAACCUAUUUAUGUCCAGUCUGCACUCUCCUCAGUGGUUAAGGGACUUCUCCAAGGUCUCAUUCUAGUAAAUUGCAGAGCUGAACAAAUUGAACCCAUGACUGCUGUCUCUAAGUCCAGGGCUUACCUACUCCAAUAUGUUAUGUUUACCAAUUUGUAAAAUGGAAACUCUUCCUCCAACUAUGGAAACCACAGUUCUAAGUUAUGGAAGAAAGUCAAAUAAAAAUACAUGUGGUUCCAAAGAAAUGGACUAUCAAGCCAUGAAAAGACAUGGAGGAAACUUAAAUGCAUAUUACCAAGUGAAAGAAACUAAUCUGAAAAGGCUACAUAUGGAGGAUGACAUUUUGGAGAAAAGCAACACUGUGGAGGCAGUAAAAGGAUCAGUAGAUGCCGGCGAUUGAGAGAGAUGAAUAGUUGAAGCACAGAGGAAUUUAGGACAGUGACACUGUGCGGUAUGAUACUACAAUAGUGCACACAUGUUAUCCAUUUGUCCAAACCUGUAUGUAGCAUGUAUGUAUGUAGUCUAUGUAUGUAGUAUGUGUGUAUGUAGUCUACGGACCUGUAUGUAGUCUAUGGACCUGGGUGAUGAGGAUGUGUUAGUUCAGGUACAUCAGUGGCAACAUACAUUAUCAUUCUAUUGUGCGGUACUUGUGGGGAAAUUGCAUAUGUGUAGGGGGAAGGGACAUAUGGGAACUCUCUCUCUCUCCUCUAAAAACCUAAAAAUACUCUAAAAAGUAACAUCUGUUUUUAAAAAUGUGUAAUUCUUUUAAAAUAGGCAAAGUUUUAGGUUUUAAUGCCAAUAGAUUUGCCAUGUCUGACUCUAGUUUUCCUUUAAGACAAAUAACUUUCCUCUUUCAUCAGAAUGUCUGUAGUAAAUUGGUGCCCCAUCUCUGGGGCUUUCCACUGGCCACCAAUUUUCCUACUGUUAUUUUCAAGCAGCUUCAGCAUUGGUCUUCUAUAUUCAGGUAAUGUGGACACAUAAUUGAUUAUAAAAUAUACCUGGCUCUAAGGAUGUUUUCCUGCUGGAGAGUUUCAUACUCAAGUCUUGCAGUGAAGAUAUGAGAGAUCAUUUUUUACAAAGCCUUGGAGAUUUAGUGGAAUAAACUAGAAGCUUAACUUGAGACUUUCAAAACCCGAAAAUCU